AAGAGGUGUCGUCUAUCGUGGAUC
Molecule: non-coding RNA, 24 nt
Filed under: Arabidopsis thaliana (thale cress)
Lineage: Eukaryota; Viridiplantae; Streptophyta; Magnoliopsida; Brassicales; Brassicaceae
Source: RNAcentral